Long non-coding RNA from Aegilops tauschii subsp. strangulata, 4502 nucleotides. RefSeq lists it as uncharacterized. The record is from RefSeq and is a predicted model, not a curated record. NCBI's taxonomy places the organism in Eukaryota, Viridiplantae, Streptophyta, Magnoliopsida, Poales, Poaceae.
GCGCAGGUGAAACAUGCCGCGCUACUAUUAUUUCGUCGCUGGCUGCGCUGUAACUACAACCGUGUAUUUAUAAAAUGCCAAUGCGUCCUGUCGCCUCAAUCUCUCCCUCCCCCACAUCUUAUCCCUAUCUGGCCUCUGCAUCCUCAUCCUCCUCCACCACUGGAUCCGGCCACAGCCAAGGUUUCCUCUCACCCACCUUAGAGCGGCGAGGUAUGCUACUUCUCCACCCGUCGGCGAGGUGCGGGCGCCGGCCGCUGGCCGACGUGGGGGUCGUGUCGUUCCUUGUGCAGCAGCUCACGGUGACCUACACGUCCGCCAACGGCGAGGACGCGGCUGACACGCUACUCAGCAUCUCCCUCCCCGCAGCUCAUGUCAUCCCCCGUCCCGGUUGUCUCCCAUCCGGCCAGCAACAAUCUCGUCCUACCUAGCUUGGAUCCGUGGAUGGCGAGUGGAUCUGGCAACUUGGAUGCUGGUGGCUGCGGCUCAUCUCCAACCCAAUGCACCGUGUACUAGUUAAUGCAAGUGAUCAAUUGAUGUUUGGAGCGUAUACAUCUCAAAAGCAAACAUUUGUGUUGUCUGUCCAGUUAAUUAAGAUGCUGAUUGAAUUGUGUACAUCUCAAAAGCAUAAAUUGGAAUUUGUGGAUUUAAAAAAAAAUCCUAAUUAGUUAGUAGUAGCGCGGGGCAGCAUCCUGCGCUGCUGCUAUUAGCAGUAGCGCGUGUGCAUCCCACGCUACUACUAUCACAACUAGCAUGGGAUCACAACUAGCUGUAGUGCAGGGUAAAAAACGCGCUACUGCUAAAAUUUAGCUGUAGCGUCGUAGCAUUAGCGCGGGCACCAGUGCUACUGAUAGCCAAAAAACCCCACGCUACUAAUAGCCUUUUUCCUAGUAGUGCAUCUUUUUCUUGUUUGUCUUCUUCUUGUUCAUGGUACACCGUAGAUCUGAAGAGAUUAGGUUCAUUUUUUGUGUGGAUCAAGCGAAGAUUAAUAGCAUAGUUAUUUUUUCAUGUCAUUAUUGUUUAAGCAGUCAAUAGAUUGGAGGUGUUUUUUCUGUGGUUCAUGCAGAUGUAAGGUUUGGGGUAGUUUUUGUAGUGCAUCAAGAGCGGCCAGAGUGAGCGGGUGCUUUUGUUUUUUUGUUAGGUGAUGCAGAUGUAACACCAAGUAAACUGCACUCUUUAGUGUUUAAUUUCAGUUAGUUUAGUUAUUUUGCUUCUUAGUCUGAAAUUCAUGUCUGCUACACUGUAGGAGUUCGUCACUGUGCCCCUGUAUCCAUUAGAGUAGAUGGGAUUUUGUAUGUCCAUAUCCCCCCCCCCCCCCCCCCCCCCCCGCCCCCGCCUGUUCUUUUUUUGUUUUGUAUCAAAUAUGUGAUUAGUAGUUUCAAGCAGAGAAUCACCCCCAUAGUUUAGACCUUAUUUUCUUAGGUUUGAUUCUUUUGUGCGUUGAUGCACAAUAGUCUCUCGCUCUCGCGUGUCUAUCGGCAAUGUCGGUGUGGUGGAUUUUUUAAUGAUGAAACUGGAUUCUUUGCUUGUAGCUAGAUUCACUUACCUCGAUAAAUAAAGCCCCGUUUUUAUGUGUCACCUUUUUUGUCAUUCAGAUUUUUUGCUGCGUUUUUUGAGGUUCUUUCCAGUAAAGAUUAUUUUACAACCAGUAGCACUAAAUUUCUUAGUAGGCCAAGAGACUGAGAUGAAGUGUGUUUCUCCGCUGGAUUGUACUGGAAGUCGUUUUUUAUCAACAUGUUUUUUUAUGCUUGUAGGUACAUAUAGAGAAAUUUUUACACCGCUCUGUACAUCCUCUGUACAGAGAGUAUAGUGCACUUUUUUUACACCCUCUGUUCAUGAGUAGGUGACAAGAGAGAUGUGUGUUUAGGAUUUUUUGCUAUGUUGAACAUUCUUUUUUAUUUUUUAGUAUAUAAACCUCUGCUAGUUAUCCUUUUUUUGGACACUUUUUCUUCUUCUUUUUUAUCGGGUGAGUGCUAUCACUUAUACUGUUCUUAACUGGGAUAUUUUUGGUGUCUCAAGAAGUGCUUCUCUCAUAUCCCCUCAUACACAUUACUGUAACCAUUAGUGGGAGUGAUUCAAUCCCUUGUUUUGUUUUAUUCUAGUCGAGAGUAGUAGGUCGAAGAAUAUGAUUUUGCUGAAACAUUACUUUCGUGAAAUCAGUUCCAUGUUUUUUGAGGAUUAUCUCCGAACUCAAAUCCCCUCAUAUGUAUUACUGGGCCAUCACUAGGAGUUGUAUAGUCCUUUUGUUUGUUUUACUUAGGUUUUUCGCUGAAAUCUUUUCUCUCGAAACAAGAGAGGUUUUUUAUUACUGGAUGUAUUAGCAGUAGUGUGGUAUGUUUAUUUUAUUUCUCAUAAUCCCUAUCUAAUCUGCAGCAUGUUUAAUCUGAAAUCUUUUUUUUGUAAACAGGAGAUAUUACUGCUGAAAUUUAUCACUAGGGAGUGGGUUGUUUAUUUUUUAUUUUAUUUUGCUUCGACUCCUUUUUAAUUCAGAAGCAUGUUCAAAUCUAUCAUUUUUUUGCGUAUUCAAAAAGAGAAUGAUUUAAUGAAAGUAAGUUUCUAGCAGCAGCAUGUUUUCUUUAGUUUUCUUUUUUUUCGCCCUAAAAACCAUAUGAAAUUAGUGUGAUGUUCAUUUUUAUUUUGUAUAUGAAUUAAUCUGGUCUUUUGAUAUACUCCCUCCGUCCUUUAAAGAGUGUACUUCCAACUUUGUUGGAGGGUCAAACUAUCUCAAACUUUGACCGAGUUUAUGCAAAAAUAUAUCAAUGUUUGUGAAACCAAAUGGGCAUACGAUGAAAAUAUAUUUUAUCAUGAAUCUAAAUCUACUCAUUUGAUGGCAUAAAUGUUGGUGUACUAUUGUAUAAAUACGGUCAAACAUAAAACAGUUUGACUUUCCAACAAAGUUGGAAGUACACUCUUUAAAGGGCGGAGGGAGUAUUCAUCAUCUUUUUUAUCUCCACAUCGCAAAUGUAUGUAUGCUUCUUUUUUUCAUCAGCGGCGACGCUAAUGAUAUAUAUCAUUAUCUCGAAAUCCUUUUUCUUCGGAAGCAUACAAGUUUAUUUUGCACUAAAAAUCAUUUAGCUGAAUAUGUAUGCAUAUCAGUAGCACAUAUUUAUGUUUUUGGCCUUUUUUUAUGUGCACAGGAGAUGGUUUGCAGAGUUUGUCUGAGCCCUUGCUACCGUGAGAGCAACAAGCGGCAUCAGCAUGUAUGUCUGGAAGGAGUUCAAAAAUACAGGGGUUGUGCCAUGCAACGUGAAAGAGUUCAUUUCAACGACCUGACAGGAGAUAGGCUGAAGUUUAAGGCAAACAAAUGGACAUACACCGUCAAGUGCCACAAGGGGCCCAGAGAGGGUGCAAUGUAUGGGACUGGUUGGAGGAAGUUCAUUUCAGACAACAAGUUGGGGAAGCUCUUCUACUUGGACUGGCCUUCCUCAAGGGCAGCUGUAUGUGUGAUUUAAUUCGGGAAUGGCACCGAAGAAUGAAGGAUUCGAGGAUGAGACCCAACGUACCCUUCUUUUUAUGCUAUGUUGAACUCUCUAACUCGUAUGUCAAGAUCCGUCGUUGUGUGUUUAUGUUUAAUGCAACUAAGUUUGUUAUGCUUUUUCGUGGGAAAACUAUGAGUAUGUUCUAUCCAUGUUUGAAAUAUUUUCUUUAUUUUUUUCCUCCCCCCAAUGAUGAAGCAUCUUUUUCAUUCUUUCCUGAUGUGCAUUUAUUGUGUUUUGUAGUUUCAUUAGUUUUUCAAAAUGCCUCCACGAACGAGAGAAACAAUUCUGAGAUCAUGUUCUGAAACGAAAAUAACAAUUGCAUAUGUGUGUUGUUCAUUUAUUUGGAGGAUUUUUUAAAGAAAUGUUGGACAAUCAUUUAGAUUAGUUUUUUUUAAAAGGAGCAUAUUAAAGGAGCGGCGUCGAGAGAGAGGGGGCCAGUUGCAUGCCCCACACUAGGCACGCAACUACAUGUCUUCUAAAUUGGUCGCAACUACAUGUCUUAUAACUUGGCUGCAGCUCGACUCCAUUUUUUGUUGUACGGGGACAAGUGUCAGUUGCAUGUCCCACAACCAGAGGGGGUGGCGUCGAGAGAGAGGGGGCAAGUUAAAUGUCCCAACACUAGGCAUGCAACUGCAUGUCUUCUAACUUGGUUACAACUGGGAACCUUUGUUUUGUCGGAGGGAGCGGCGUUGAGAGAGAGGGGCCCAGCCGCAUGCUAAACUGUACGCACGCAACUGUAGGUCCUUUUCCAGCAUGGGCGCAAUUGCAUGUGUUAUAACUUGGUCCCAACUCGACCUUUUCAUUUUUUGUUGUACGGGGUGAGGGGUAGUUGCAUGUCCCAAACCAGGACAGGCAACCACAUGCUUUCUAACUUGAUCGUAACCGGGUGACCUUUGUUUUUGUAGGAGGGGGCAGCGUCGAGAGAGAUGGGGCCAGUUGCAUGUCCCAUACUAGGUACGCAACUGCAUGUCUUCUACAAUGGUUGCAACUUGGGGGACCUUUGUAUUGUCAGAGGUGGUGGUGUCG